CUCUCAGCUACCCCCUUGAACCUCGCACUUGACUGUAAAUACCAACGUCGCUUCGCUAACUCGGGGAGGGGAUUUGGGGAGCCAAAUCUCCGUCCCGCCGGCGGGCAAAGGUUUGAAGAUGGGAACGCGGAGCGAGCCGGAUGCGGCUCCACCAUGCCGACCCUUGGGGCACGAGCGGAGCGGGAAGGAAGGAAGGAAGGAAGGAAGGAAGGAAGGAAGGAAGGAAGGAAGGAAGGAAGGAAGGAAGGAAGGAAGGAAGGAAGGAAGGAAGGAAGGAAGGAAGGAAGGAAGGAAGGAAGGAAGGAAGGAAGGAAGGAAGGAAGGAAGGAAGGAAGGAAGGAAGGAAGGAAGGAAGGAAGCCGUGUUGUGCAGGGCCUGCGCCUGGAAGCGGCGUUUCUUCGAGCAUCUUUCGCCCGACGCGCCAGCAGCCCGGUGCGACUGCAGAAGUUUAAAAAUGGUGACUGAGUUGUACAGGAGAACCAGGACAAUCCCAAAAAAUUCAGAAGAUGUCCGUGAUCAUACGGGUAUGACUAGCAAAGGAGAGCUGGUUCUAGUGCCUGCUGCGUUUUGGAUUUGUUUCGUGCCAGGAAGGAGUCGAGCUUCUGACUUCUGAAUAAUACCUAAACUUUGUGUGUGAUACUUCUCCUGAUAAUACAUUGGUAAGUUUAUGUCCUCAUUUUCAGUGCUAGCAUGAUACCCUCUUUACUCGGGCUGUAAUUGAAAGAAAGGCUGCAACUGCUCUUUGAACAGCUCUUCUUACUGGAGCAGCUUUUGCAGAAAACUCUAGCUGGCCCAGCCACAGUUUGGGAAUAAGUAAAUAAGGGGCCAGACUUUG
Molecule: long non-coding RNA, 835 nt
Filed under: Struthio camelus australis
Lineage: Eukaryota; Metazoa; Chordata; Aves; Struthioniformes; Struthionidae
Description: lncRNA (ENSSCUG00000012134.1)
Source: RNAcentral